AGUGAACGCUGGCGGUAGGCCUAACACAUGCAAGUCGAACGGCAGCACAGUAAGAGCUUGCUCUUACGGGUGGCGAGUGGCGGACGGGUGAGGAAUACAUCGGAAUCUACUUUUUCGUGGGGGAUAACGUAGGGAAACUUACGCUAAUACCGCAUACGACCUACGGGUGAAAGCAGGGGAUCUUCGGACCUUGCGCGAUUGAAUGAGCCGAUGUCGGAUUAGCUAGUUGGCGGGGUAAAGGCCCACCAAGGCGACGAUCCGUAGCUGGUCUGAGAGGAUGAUCAGCCACACUGGAACUGAGACACGGUCCAGACUCCUACGGGAGGCAGCAGUGGGGAAUAUUGGACAAUGGGCGCAAGCCUGAUCCAGCCAUACCGCGUGGGUGAAGAAGGCCUUCGGGUUGUAAAGCCCUUUUGUUGGGAAAGGAAAGCAGCAGGUUAAUACCCCGCUGUUCUGACGGUACCCAAAGAAUAAGCACCGGCUAACUUCG
RNAcentral lists this ribosomal RNA (490 nucleotides) under uncultured bacterium. RNAcentral's name for it is "partial 16S ribosomal RNA". It matches the Rfam family "Bacterial small subunit ribosomal RNA", at positions 29 to 505 of the family's 1533-position model. The record is from RNAcentral.